GACGAACGCUGGCGGCGUGCUUAACACAUGCAAGUCGAACGAUGAAGCCUAGCUUGCUAGGUGGAUUAGUGGCGAACGGGUGAGUAAUACGUGAGUAACCUACCUUUAACUCUGGGAUAAGCCUGGGAAACUGGGUCUAAUACCGGAUACGACCAAUCUCCGCAUGGGGUGUUGGUGGAAAGCGUUAUGUAGUGGUUAUAGAUGGGCGCACGGCCUAUCAGCUUGUUGGUGAGGUAACGGCUCACAAAGGCGACGACGGGUAGCCGGCCUGAGAGGGGGACCGGCCACACUGGGACUGAGGCACGGCCCAGACUCCUACGGGAGGCAGCAGUGGGGAAUAUUGCACAAUGGGCGCAAGCCUGAUGCAGCGACGCCGCGUGAGGGAUGACGGCCUUCGGGUUGUAAACCUCUGUUAGCAGGGAAGAAGAGAAAUUGACGGUACCUGCAGAGAAAGCGCCGGCUAACUACGUG
RNAcentral lists this ribosomal RNA (471 nucleotides) under uncultured bacterium. Its description in RNAcentral is "partial 16S ribosomal RNA". It matches the Rfam family "Bacterial small subunit ribosomal RNA", at positions 28 to 507 of the family's 1533-position model. The record is from RNAcentral.